AGUGAACGCUGGCGGUAGGCCUAACACAUGCAAGUCGAACGGCAGCACAGUAAGAGCUUGCUCUUACGGGUGGCGAGUGGCGGACGGGUGAGGAAUACAUCGGAAUCUACUUUUUCGUGGGGGAUAACGUAGGGAAACUUACGCUAAUACCGCAUACGACCUACGGGUGAAAGCAGGGGAUAUUCGGACCUUGCGCGAUUGAAUGAGCCGAUGUCGGAUUAGCUAGUUGGCGGGGUAAAGGCCCACCAAGGCGACGAUCCGUAGCGGGCCUGAGAGGAUGAUCAGCCACACUGGAACUGAGACACGGUCCAGACUCCUACGGGAGGCAGCAGUGGGGAAUAUUGGACAAUGGGCGAAAGCCUGAUCCAGCCAUACCGCGUGAGUGAAGAAGGCCUUCGGGUCGUAAAGCCCUUUUGUUGGGAAAGAAAAGCAGCAGGUUAAUACCCCGCUGUUCUGACGGUACCCAAAGAAUAAGCACCGGCUAACUUCGUG
This 492-nucleotide ribosomal RNA is filed under the name uncultured bacterium. RNAcentral's name for it is "partial 16S ribosomal RNA". It matches the Rfam family "Bacterial small subunit ribosomal RNA", at positions 29 to 507 of the family's 1533-position model. The record is from RNAcentral.